This is a long non-coding RNA of Mandrillus leucophaeus (drill), 752 nucleotides long. RefSeq lists it as uncharacterized. The record is from RefSeq and is a predicted model, not a curated record. The transcript is spliced from 3 exons. NCBI's taxonomy places the organism in Eukaryota, Metazoa, Chordata, Mammalia, Primates, Cercopithecidae.
UGCCACCAUUAAAUUUAUAUUAACAUGUAAAAAUGUUUGGAGUUUAGGGCUCUUACCCAUAUCUUAGUGACAUAGAAAGAAAAGAUAAAUCACACACGCAACCAGAAAAUAGACAUGUUGACUUUAUUUUAGUACAUAAUCUGGUAGGAUUUUUACAUAAUCUCACGUACUGGUGCUAGGUAGUUGGUUGUGCCAACUAGAAGUGUCACAUAGUUAAUAUCCUUAAAGAGAAAUGGAAGCUAAUCAGGUAAGUAAACUGUGAGCUGAGGCCUACGUCAUGCUUGCUAUUCAAAGAGAGUAAAGUAAUUGGAUAAAUGUUAAUGCCUCCUUGUUGGGAAAACAGUCUUCAAAAAUGGCACCAAGUUACAGUUCUAAUGCAAUGGAGUCACUAAUUACUAUGAAUACUUUUUUUACUUGGCGGAUUACUAAUAAAGGCAACUGGAUACAAUAAAUGUAAAGAUUUUCUUUUAAAACGACAGACUCUUCAGUGAGGCAUAAACAUUUUAUAGAACAAUUAUCAAAGCUAUAUUGGACUUAAAUAUUGGUCAUGAAUGUAUGCACACCCCAUAGGUAGCUGCCCUCCUUGGGCAGCUUUUGACUCCUAUGCCAAAAUUUAAAAUAAAGCCCGGGGCCGGGCGCGGUGGCUCAAGCCUGUAAUCCCAGCACUUUGGGAGGCCGAGGCGGGCGGAUCACGAGGUCAGGAGAUCGAGACCAUCCUGGCUGACACAGUGAAACCCCGUCUCUACUAAAAA